UACAGAGGGUGCGAGCGUUAAUCGGAAUUACUGGGCGUAAAGCGCACGUAGGUGGCGACGUAAGUCGGGUGUGAAAGCCCCGGGCUCAACCUGGGAAUUGCAUUCGAUACUGCCAUGACUCGAGUCCGGUAGAGGAGUGUGGAAUUCCCGGUGUAGCGGUGAAAUGCGCAGAUAUCGGGAGGAACACCCGUAGCGAAGGCGGCACUCUGGGCCGGAACUGACGCUGAGGAGCGAAAGCGUGGGGAGCAAACAGG
Molecule: ribosomal RNA, 254 nt
Filed under: uncultured bacterium
Lineage: Bacteria
Description: partial 16S ribosomal RNA
Rfam family: Bacterial small subunit ribosomal RNA
Source: RNAcentral